CAAGUCGAACGCACUCUUCUAAUUUAGUGGCAGGAGGGUGAGUAACAUGUGGGAAUCUGCCUUGAGGUUCAGGAUAACAUCAGGGAAACUUGUGCUAAUACUGGAUGUGCCCUUCGGGGGAAAGAUUUAUUGCCAUUUAGAGCGGCCCGCAUUUGAUUAGCUAGUUGGUGAGGUAAUGGCUCACCAAGACGACGAUCAGUAGCUGAUCUGAGAGGAUGAUCAGCCACAUUGGGACUGAGACACGGCCCAAACUCCUACGGGAGGCAGCAGUGGGGAAUCUUGCACAAUGGAGGAAACUCUGACGCAGCCAUGCCGCGUGAAUGAAGAAGGUCUUUGGAUUGUAAAGUUCUUUUGGUGGGGACGAUAAUGACUGUACCUUCAGAAUAAGGCCCGGCUAACUUCGUGCCAGCAGCCGCGGUAAUACGAAGGGACCUAGCGUUGUUCGGAAUUACUGGGCGUAAAGGGCGCGUAGGCCGUUGAUUUAGUUAAAUGUGAAAUCCCUGAGCUUAACUUGGGAACUGCAUUUGAGACUGCUCGACUAGAGGACGAUAGAGGAGAGUGGAAUUCAUAGUGUAGAGGUGAAAUUCGUAGAUAUUGUGAAGAACACCGGUGGCGAAGGCGGCUUUCUGGAUCAACACUGACGCUGAGGCGCGAAAGCAUGGGUAGCAAACAGGAUUAGAUACCCUGGUAGUCCAUACCAUAAACGAUGUUGCUAGACGUUGGAGCUCUAUUUUCUUCUGUGUCGCUAACUAACGCAUUAAUCCGACCUGCGUGAGUACGACCGCAAGGAAGGUACUCACAUGAGUGAUUGG
This 812-nucleotide ribosomal RNA is filed under the name uncultured bacterium. Its description in RNAcentral is "bacterial SSU rRNA". It matches the Rfam family "Bacterial small subunit ribosomal RNA", at positions 58 to 916 of the family's 1533-position model. The record is from RNAcentral.